ACUUCCAAUUAAUAGAUGAAG
This 21-nucleotide microRNA is filed under the name Schistosoma mansoni. Its description in RNAcentral is "sma-miR-8414-5p". The record is from miRBase by way of RNAcentral. Lineage: Eukaryota; Metazoa; Platyhelminthes; Trematoda; Strigeidida; Schistosomatidae.